CGUCCGUCCGUUCGUUCGCCAUCCAUCUAUCCAUCCAUCCAUCUAUCCAUCCAUCCAGCCAUCCAUCCAUCCAUCUAUCCACCCUUAAAUCGUGCAUAAGUUUAACCAGGAAGUAGAUCCUUUGUACUUUGACGUACGCGGUUUCCAUCGACGUAUAAGUAAGAUCAAAGCGAAACUUACGGAAUGAUGUACCUAUCGUAUCAUCCCACAAUCUUUAUGAGCUAAAAAGAAACAUCGGUGUUAUUUCGUUCAACAUAUUUAAAUAAUUCAGUUCGGUGAAAAUUUUCCACCAAUACGAAUUUCAAUUACAAUUGUAUUAAAUUAAUUAUUAAAACGAUGAAAAAAAUUGUUGCUUUUGGUAAAUGUUCAAUACGAACAAGAAGAUAUGCUCUCAUUAAAAAAAAUUAAAUUUCAUUAAUC
RNAcentral lists this long non-coding RNA (420 nucleotides) under Polistes fuscatus (common paper wasp). RNAcentral describes it as "uncharacterized LOC122524719". Lineage: Eukaryota; Metazoa; Arthropoda; Insecta; Hymenoptera; Vespidae. The record is from RNAcentral.